Molecule: ribosomal RNA, 253 nt
Filed under: uncultured bacterium
Lineage: Bacteria
Description: partial 16S ribosomal RNA
Rfam family: Bacterial small subunit ribosomal RNA
Source: RNAcentral
UACGUAGGGGGCUAGCGUUGUCCGGAAUCAUUGGGCGUAAAGCGCGUGUAGGCGGCCCGAUAAGUCAGACGUGAAAUCCCUCAGCUUAACUGGGGAACUGCGUCUGAUACUGGAUGGCUUGAGUGUAGGAGAGGAAUGCGGAAUUCCAGGUGUAGCGGUGAAAUGCGUAGAUAUCGAGAGGAACACCUGCGGCGAAGGCGGGUUGCUGGGCUGACACUGACGCUGAAGUGCGAAAGCUAGGGGAGCGAACGGG